CCAGCAUCCCUGCCCAUCCCGGGGCCCGGGUUCCGUCCCAGGGCGAUGUCGCCACUUCCGCGGGGAGGAGCCGCAGCGGGUGGUGCUGGGGCCGGCGGGGAGAGGCUGAGAUUGUCUGCAAACCGAAGUGAGCUAAUACUUCUUGGUACUUUGAAAUCCAGACAAGAUGAAGAUCCCCUCUUUUCUGCUGAGAUUCCCUCAUUGUUAUUUUUCUAGAAGAACUUACCUCACAAACUUUCAAUCCACCUCCAGAGCAGAUUUCUUGUGCAUUGAAUCUUGUACACCAGUGUAUCACUAUCGUACAAAAUGGAUAUGUUCAUCGGCCAGUUUGAGGAGAGAGCUGUGUCAACAAGUAGCCCCUGACCAGCAGAUAGAGGAGCUUUCUGACAGAGAACAAAGACUCAUAGACAGACUUUACAGUGGACUGAUCCAAGGUCAUAGAGCCUGUUUAGCAGAAGCCAUUACACUUGUAGAAUCAACUCAGACCAGGAAGAAGAAAAUAGCCCAGGUGCUCCUUCAGAAGGUAUUAUCCUACCACAGGGACCAAGAAAAGUUAAAUCAAGGAAAACCACUUGCCUUUAGAGUUGGAUUAUCUGGUCCUCCUGGUGCUGGGAAAUCAACUUUCAUAGAAUGCUUUGGGAAAAUGCUUACAGAAAGAAAAUACAAAGUGUCUGUGUUGGCUGUAGACCCUUCCUCUAGUACAAGUGGUGGUUCUCUGUUGGGUGAUAAAACGAGGAUGACUGAGUUGUCAAGAGACAUGAAUGCAUACAUCAGACCAUCUCCAACCAGAGGGACACUGGGAGGUGUAACAAGGACCACAAAUGAAGCCAUUCUGCUGUGUGAAGGAGGAGGCUACAAUGUUGUUCUUGUGGAAACUGUAGGUGUGGGACAGUCAGAAUUUGCUGUGGCUGAUAUGGUUGAUAUGUUUAUAUUACUGCUUCCACCUGCGGGUGGAGAUGAAUUACAGGGUAUCAAACGGGGUAUAAUUGAGAUGGCAGAUCUAGUUGCUAUAAAUAAAGCUGAUGGUGAUUUAAUUGUGCCUGCACGGAGAAUACAGGCUGAAUAUGUUAGUGCUCUGAAGCUGCUUCGCAAACGUUCAAAGGUUUGGAGACCACAGGUCGUGCGCAUCUCUGCCAAAACUGGAGAAGGUAUCUCAGAUAUGUGGGAUAAAAUGACAGAAUUUCGUGACCUCAUGCUCACCAGUGGUGAGUUGAUUGCCAAACGACGGAAACAGCAGAAAGUGUGGAUGUGGAAUCUCAUCCAAGAAAAUAUGUUGGAACAUUUCCGGAGUCACUUAGCAGUCAAGGAUAAGAUUCCACUUCUAGAAGAGAAAGUUCUUAGCGGUGUCUUGUCUCCUGGGCUGGCAGCUGACCUGCUACUGAAAGCAUUCAAAGAUGGUCUCUAAGCGUUAGAUUCUACUUUGUUCUUGUUAAGUGCUUUAUGUAAACAUAAGCAUUAAAUACAGUUUUUCUGUGUGUGGAUUUGAAUGUUUUACUACAGCAGACAUAAAUAGAACACCUGUCCAGUACUGUGCAAAAAAAAAAAUACUGCAGGAUUCUGUAUAUCUGAAGAACAUGAAAAAUCCACUCACUCAGAGAUUGCUACAGACUAUAUUGGAAAAAAGUACAUUUGUAAGUCUUCUAUUUGUACAUGCUGUAGAUCUGUUGGUCAAAUAUGCAUGCCUGUCUCAAAAGUGAGCAAUUUGGGGAGGGUGGGAGAGAAAGGUUUGCAGUGGUGCAGAGUUCUGUUCCAAUUAUGGGACCAUCUUAGAGCAGUUGAUACUGCAGCUUUCUAUUCUAAUAUAGUAUCAGCUGUUGGAUUGCUUUUUCUUUAUACACCUUGAGUGACAGCAGGAACAUUGGACCCCCUGGCAGGACCUAACCACAGUCUUAGUUUAAAUAAAUUGUAUGCGUAUAAAUAGAAUAUAGUGAUGUUUGGUCCCUGUUUGGAAGCUAUACUUAGUUAUUACAUGCUGUAUACUAGGACAAUGGAGUUUUAACCAUCCCAAUUUCUAUGUUUAAUACAAAAGCAAAAUUUAGUCAAGACUUCUUUUUAAAUGCAGACAUCAAAUGGAACAGAUGUUAUCCAUGACAUAUAUGACAUCUGUGAUGACGUACAGUAGUAAAUGUCUUUAUACUAGAAUAAUUGAUUCCUAUUAAUAAUGGUUUGAGGUUUUCUGAUCUGAUUUAUGGUUUUUGGAUUAAAACAAAAAGUCCAGUUGUGUUUGGGUUUGUUUCCACCCCUUCCACCUUGUAGAAAAUGUGACUGCUUACAACCAAAACUGCUUCUUUUUUUAAAAUUUCCUUUGAGUACAAAUCUAGAGGAUGCAUUUACCCAAGCUGCGAUCAAGAAAGUAGAGCUUAUCUGGUACCUACUAAAUAUGAGGGAUAAAGUGGAAAAAUGCUGAUUUUUGGAAGCCUGGAAGAAACCCAGUAAAAUAGCAGGAGAUCUUGUGAGUCCUCUUGUUUGCUUACAUGAAUUGACUUUAAAAAAAAACAAAACAUUGGAAGUGAUGGGUUUUGUAGUAUUGAUAUUCUAGACACAGACAAAAUGACACAGUGUCUUUAAUCUUUAUUUUAGCUCAGUUUCAUCUCUUUGUCUUCCCAAGAUUUGUAUAUAUUUCACAGCAUUUGAAUUCUGGCAACCCGAGUCUGAAUUUUUGAGACAAUUCUGAGAUAGCAGUGAAUUAUUUUACUUAGAUCUACUCUUCUUUUUUCUUUGUUUUUUUUUUUUGUUUUGUUUUUUUUUUUUAAAUCCAAGGUGAUUUAUUUCCUCUUCCUUCCUCUCAUCCUGGUUGUUAUAAUGUGUUCCCAAUUAAGUUUACUUUUUCCUGCCAGACCUCUGUGCUUCAGAAUUUUCAUUCCUGUGUAAGAGUAAUUUGGCAGCUGUCAGAAAGAUGAAUGAUUGUUGAAAAUGCUGAGGAUUUUGUAUCCCUUGGUUUGUCAAAGUGGUGCAAAUUAAACAAUGCAGAAGAAACCUCCAUCCACAGUUCUAGCAUUUCAGUUAUUUUUCACACUGUAUGAUGAUGUCUAUAUAGUUGUCUGUGUACUCUAAAAAUAUGAAGUAUGACCAGAAAGUAAAAGGCAAACUGCAAGGCAAAGUAGAAAUACUUUGCAAUUAAAAGCAAUGAUCCCUAUGUGUAUUUGUAGUGAAAUAUUAACAAGGACCAUUGUAGUGUUUUGUGAGACACAGCCAAAGCAUUUAUUAAGAAAUUUUGUACCAGUAUAGCUGGUUUCCGCCACAUAAAUUAUUAGAACUUCAAUGCUCUGACUUCUUUAUUUCUGUUUAUAAACUUUGUAUCCCAAAUGAGUAAGUUGGGUUUGCUGCAACCUGUUAUGCAGAAGUAGCUGAAGGAAUGUUAGGGGGUGGUAGAAUCACAGACACUUCAUUAAGACCAUGCUGAAAAAAUGUAGCAUUUAUAUAUAUUUUUUUCCUAUUGAAAAAACAGUCUUUAUUGAAUAUGACAGAAAGUGCCCCAAACCAAAAGCAAUGUCUUCUAUCCUUUCUGCUUUAAAAAUUAACUGUGUUUUGAUGGUACCUAAUAGAAGAAAUGACAGUCAGGUGGAAAAUGAAUUAAUGAGAGCAGCAGAAUUUUAACUGGUGAGUUCUCAGUUAUUUGAUAGUCCAUUUAUUUCAGGUGACAGUUUUUCAGGGGACUUGAUUUGUGCUUAUUUGUUAGCUCAAACCCUUAUUAUUGUCAUUACCUUUGUCAGGGGCUGCUAUUUUCCUUGUCUGUUGUACGUGAGCUGUCAAGCAAGUAAAACAGCACCUGCAGCUUUGUGUAAAUGAUGCCUACUCAAGCAGGAUACGGUUUACCACUUCUUCAGGAUGUUUAAUGGAUGCAAAUCUGUCCAUCCACCUAGGCCACUGGCCAUCAUUGUUUUCUCAUUUUGCUGCUUCUUCUCAAGUGUCAUUAAUUUACUAAUGAACACUUUGCAGAAGAGAGUACAAUGGCUUAAGCUAUUUCUACUUUUCAUUCGGCUGCAUUUUCUUCUGAAAGUAGAGCAUUGAUGAAAAUUAGUUUGCUUUCUUUGUGUAUUCAUUUGUGCCUCAUACUUCAAUAGAUAGAGAAGUACACUUAUACUGAAAAGGGUCUUUGGAAAUGGCACAGUAUGUAGGGGCCCUGCUUUGUUUUUCAGUGAGUCCCCAACCCAACUGAAAAGCUGUACUGCGCAAACUAUAACCUGAGCCUCACACGCGAGACUGUAUCGUUCUGUUAUAAUGUGUUGCUUUAAGUGGCAGAAAGCUUUUCCUUGAUAUCUAAUCUGGCCUCACCUUUUGUAAGUGAAUUACUUCCUGUUAUGCACACCUGUUCAGUCUUGAAUAUUCUUUUUGCAUAUAUUGUUUCUUUAUUUGUGAAAUCUGCAGUGUCUUGUCUCUCUGUUGGUGGGUCUUGAGAUUUUUGGACUGGAGACUGAGCUAAGGAAUACUAAUGAACUCUUUUAUUUUUCAACCUCAUGCAGUUUCCUGAAGUUUUCUUUCUUAAUGUGGCAAAAGACUAUUGACUUGCUCUGUACUGGUGUAAAAAUACUUCUUUCCCCUUUUUCCCUUGUGCAGAGUGCUCUGUUGCUUCCCUCUUGGAUGCACAGUCAAGAAGUAACAUUAUCCCUGAGUUAAAAUGAGAAACAUUUUACAGAGCUUAGUCCUUCCACAAGUAUUUCCGCUGGACUGUUCUAAAACAGAUAUCAUUUGAAGAAUGAUCGAACAGAAGUUGAUAAAACAUGUAUUUAAAGAAAAAUCUGUGUUCCUCUGGAACUUAUGAUUUGGACAAUCAACAGUGCAGGCAACAAACAACAGGGUUCCUCUUCCAAAACCUAGUUCGGAUACUCCAUAGUCACAUUCCUUGCAGUUAAUUUAAAAUAGCCCACCCGCCUCAUAUUAGAACAUUAACACAAUUUAGGGAUUGAGAAUAAAAAAAUUCAAAUGAAACACUCUUAAGCAAUUGUAGUACAUAUUUAGGAUGAAAAUAUGAUAGGCAUGCUAGUUUCCCUGCUGCCACACCAAGGUAUGGUUCAGCUGGUGAACAAACAGGGUAAAGAGCAGCUGACAUUCAUGGUGGUCUAUGGAGAAGGCAGAUUAUGGGGCAGCAAAAAGAAUGUCUAUUUUUCUCUUUUUCUUACAUGGGAGCGUAAGAAUUAUCUUAGACAAUUUAGUGGUGAGCCACAGAAAUUGAUUUGAUCCAUAGUAUUUGCUGAAUGAAGUUAAAAAAAUGAUUAAUUCAAUUCACUUUUCUGUCUUUUGGAUUUUUAUGUUACAAGGGACUAGUCUAAUACAGACACUUGUCCUUUGGGACUUGGUGGUUUUGUUUAUAAUAAUGCUGUAAGUCGGAGGAAAUCUAGAAGUCCUUGUAGUCUGAGUAGAUGAUUGUUCAUUUCUAACAAAGAAGUCACAAGCUUCACUUUUCUGAAUGUGUGAUGAGAUUCCUAUAUUUUUCCUUAAAAUAUAAUGGCAAAGUGAGUUCCUGCUGUGUGUUACUGUGUCUUCGUUUUCUCUUCAGUUUAGAUCUCUUUAACUGUCAGUGUAAAAAAACUGUAGUAUAGUUAUACACUUUUUCUAAUUAAUCAAAUAUUCAUAAAGUUAAUCAGGGAUUAACAAUAUUUUACUUUGUUUCUUCUAUUGCAAGUGACUAUUGUAACCUGAAGAUUAUGACCUAUUAUAACCUAAAGGCUAUUAGAACUUCAGGUGAAUGAGCUGACCUGUACCGUAGCAGACUGCAAUGGCUGGGGAUGUGCAAUGUACAUAUAAUAAGAUAUGCAUUGACUGCAUGGCUCAUAGCAUUAUAAAGCUGCUCUGCUAAAGGUUUCUCUCAGCCCUAAAUCUCUGACACAAAGAUCCCAUUUGUAGUUUUCGAAUUGAAGCCAGCAGAAGACAAGAGUAAUGUCAGUUUUUAUAAUUUGUUGCUUAGCAGCACUGAUCAACAGAAGUACAACCUUUUUCUGUAACUUUGGUGAACCCGGGCUGGGACAGAGUUCAUCAGCAGAAGACAAGGAUUCCUAAAGUUGUGUGAAACUGUUGUUCAGUGUCUGUUAGCAGCACCUGUAGCAAACUGUCUUCUUGACCCCUUCACUACCUUUGCCCUUUAAUCUUCUUUCUUUCUCUCAUCAGGUCUUAGAAGGAAACAGGCACCAUCCUAGGGGUGUGUGGAUGGAAAGGUUAGAGACAAGGCAACUGUGCCGAGAUGUAUUCUGCUGCUUAUGGGGAAAAGUUGUUGAGCUGGUUCCCAGGCUGUGAUGUCAGACUUUCCUCUCAUGGCAGGAGAAACAGACUUUAGCUACCACUGUAAAGAUUAUUCUUAUUUAGAGAAGCGUUUCCAGUAUUUUGGAAAUUUGAUUAUAAUAUUAUUUUGGAAAUAUUAUUAGGCAAAAUAAUCUGUAGGGGAAAGGGAAAUUAGGGUGCUAAGAUUUCCCUUUACGUCUUUUAAGAGGGAUUUUUCAAACUGAAUUAGAAGGCGUAUUGAAUGUGAUUGAAAAUUAUUAGGGAUCUGCAGUGAAUGUAGCUACAAAGACAAUUCCCUUCUCUCUCUUCCGCUUCCCCCUUCUCUUCUAUCUGAUCAAAUCUGCAAGGCCUGUAAAAUAAGUGCAAAGAGUAAGUUGCUUGUUUCACCUUACUUCUAAACUGUUAGUUGUUAGUCUAACCAGACAAAGGAUCUUUGGUAACAUCACAAACUGCAUCAAUAUGCCUUAUAAUGCCAGAAGCUUAGACUAGGAGUAAAGCUCCUAGUUACUGAGCUCGUUGUCUUUUUACUUCUAGAUCAAAGUAAGAAACAGCUGAGUAUUUGUAUACUUUCUCUGCCAAAAAUGUUACAAUCCUGAGACAUCCAUAAAGGUGUGGAAAAUAAUGCCUUGUCAGUCUGCUGUUUUUCUCCUUCCUCCCCUCUUGCCUCCACUGCUGACUUCUCCUCUCUAUCCACACUUAAAGAUUUGUUGAUAGCUGUUAACAGCAGUAUGAGUCAACAUAUUAAAAGGUCAGCAUAUGUGUGACGAGUUAUGCUCUCGUGUCCCUUCUCUUCUGAAGUUUAAAAACAAACUCUGCUGUUCAGCUAUCCUGGUCUCAAAAAGUUAGUGGAGAGGACUAACAUUGUGGUAAUUGCAAAAUUGAGAUCCGAAUAGUCAUUCCAGAAAAGGCAGCGACACAGAAGACUGGUUUCUGUCCUAUGUGUCAUGUCAAAAGCAUGGCAAGUUUAUAUCUGGCAGAGCUCAAUCAGGUAAAAUAAACAGCAAACUGGAAUGGGAAUUACAUAACAAAUACUACUAUUAUUUUUUUUUUCAAUUGCACAAAUCUUAACAAAGCGAUCUAUCUAGAAGUCUUGACUGCUUCCUGAGACUAAGGAGAAUGAUUUUCCAUGCGCUUGCUUGCUGAACAAAGCAAAUUUUGUUACCAAAACAGGAUUUCUUUUUUUUUGAGCUGUAAAUACAAUUUGUCUUCCCAGUGAACAACAGCUGCUAAUAUUUGAUACCUACAGGGUUCAAACCAAGCAGAUGAAGCCACGUCCUUAACUUCUGGUUUACAGGAGAAGGAGGGAACUUAAGUCAAAAUCAAUAAGCUUUUAAAACCAGUUUCAGUAAAACCAAAAAACUUUUUUUGUUAUUUGUCAGUGGUGUGAUGCAGAAUACCUGACUGUGCAGUGGCAAUUGGACAUGAGUAGUUUUGAAAAGGAAUGUUUUAAACUUUUGCUAAUUAAGAUAAUGUUAUCUUUCACCUUUCUUUUUAGUUAUCCAUUAAAAUGUGGCAUUCUGUUAUAAGCAAAAAAGCGUUUUUAUCGUGGGACUCUUUAGUGCUGUCAUUUCCACAUCUGCAACAACCAGGCAGAACAUGCCCACUGUGCAGCACUAGCACAACUAAAAGCCACUGAAUGUUUUAUUUCUGAACCAAGAUUAGUCAGUUAUUUUGAAUUGUGAUGUGUUAAAUAGGGAAGCCUUAGUUUUGUGUCUGCAGGAUGCAUGUGGCUUUCAGUUCAGCUACAGAUACUGCUGCACACACCCGUUCCCAACACACACAAUUCCUUGCUGUGCACUUGCUUAUAUUAAGAGUGCUACUGUUUCUCCAUACCCUGGCAUCGGGAAAGGAUGGUAUUUGAGCAUGUGCCCAAGGAUGAUUGAAUAGUGGUCCUAGAAUACAGGCUGCCUGAGUUUGUUCCCAUUAGGUGAGCCAGUUUUCCAGUUUGGGGGCAGUAAAUUUCCUAUGCAACGAGACAGGAAAUUUCAGGGGGAAACUGGAAUAAUUAAAAUAAUCUUGUUUGGUCCAUUGCCAUCUCUUUCAUCUUAGAAAACAUUGCUCUGGAGACACACACAGAUCCUGUAAAUGAGUCUAGUCUGGAUAGCUCUCAUCUAACACUUUGAACGCGUAGUCCUUAGUGAGCUUUAAAAGUGCAAGGACAUUUCUGUGGGACAGUUUGGAUGGUUUUGGUUUAAUAAUUUUUUUUCCUUCGUUGGCUGCUGGUUGAGAUUAAGGCUGAACUAAGUGGAUCCUCAGGUUAGCGUGGCAUUUCUUCACGUAGAUUGCAUCACAAAAUCACCCCAAAAGAAAAGAUUUUUGUAAACAAUACUCAUAUAACUUAUGAAGAAAAAUAAGCAUUGCAAAUUUGAAAUAGAAAUUUAAAUAUUGCACAAGAUGGAUGGAAUUAAGUCUACUCUUUUUUUUUUUCAGUUUCUAAAUCUAAAAGCUGUAACAUUUUCUCUCCUCCUUAAUCCUGCUUCAUCUAGAGCGUUUGUAGCAAACCGUCUUGUUUGCAUGCCAAGAAAUUGCAACGGAGACAAACAAAUGACUACAAAUGACAAAGUAUGUCAAACUGCUCUCUGUUCCUUCAGAAGUGUACUGGACUACUCAGAACCAGGGGAAAUGUGCUAAAGAAAACAGAAAGAAGUCUUCAGAAAGUCCCCUUGCGUUACUGGGCCUGUGAUGAGAAGAUUUGAGGGACUUAGCAGCAUUACAGUAGAAGCAGGAUAAUUGAUUUGAGUUUGUUAUGACACUGCAACUUGUUACAAGUGGACCACCCUCUGCCAGAAUAGAGCGAGAGAAGACAAGAUAUUGUGGAAGAGGAGAGGAAGACCACCUCUUCUUGAUCAUGGCUUACCACCCCUAUGUCAAAGCCAGAGACGCCUUCCCUUCACCUAACUAGUCAUUACCAAAAGGAGGAGCAGUGGAUUCAACACACGAGCUGUUAACAGCACCAUGAACUCUAACAAGGUACUAAUAGAGACCCUGCAAAUUAGUAUCCACACCCUGGUAGAAAUAACCAUAAGAAUUUUUCAGUUGCUUAGACCUUAACACUGCCCUAAUGGAGGUCAAAGGGCGAUCCACUUGUAUUUAAUGUUAACAUUAAUUUAUCUGAAGAUAAUUUUUAUCUAAUGAGUACCCAUUUUUGUUUUGUUUCCUUGUUUAGUGUUUAACUUUGGUUUUGGAUGUUCAGUAUCUUUUCUUGUUCAUUGGAGCCACUAAUAUCUUUGCCUGUUAGAAUUUGUCUGUUCUUAAGAGUUUCCUUCUUUAGCCUCUUCUGUGCAUUUUAAUUAUUUCAUUGAUCUUCAGUGAAAAUAAAAAGCUUUUUCUAAAAUGCUGACUAAGCACAUACAGGGUGUUUUUACAAUAAAAAAAGAUUUCCACUACAAUCUUCUAAUGCACAGUGUU
RNA transcript from Cuculus canorus (common cuckoo), 9624 nucleotides. Lineage: Eukaryota; Metazoa; Chordata; Aves; Cuculiformes; Cuculidae. The record is from RefSeq and is a predicted model, not a curated record.